AUGCAUGUCUAAGUAUAAGCAAUCUAUACGGUGAAACUGCGAAUGGCUCAUUAAAUCAGUUAUCGUUUAUUUGAUAGUACCUUACUACUUGGAUAACCGUGGUAAUUCUAGAGCUAAUACAUGCUAAAAACCCCGACUUACGGAGGGGUGUAUUUAUUAGAUAAAAAACCAAUGCCCUUCGGGGCUCCUUGGUGAUUCAUAAUAACUUAACGAAUCGCAUGGCCUUGUGCCGGCGAUGGUUCAUUCAAAUUUCUGCCCUAUCAACUUUCGAUUGUAAGGUCUUGGCUUACAAUGGUUUCAACGGGUAACGGAGAAUUAGGGUUCGAUUCCGGAGAGGGAGCCUGAGAAACGGCUACCACAUCCAAGGAAGGCAGCAGGCGCGCAAAUUACCCAAUCCCGACACGGGGAAGUAGUGACAAUAA
Molecule: ribosomal RNA, 422 nt
Filed under: uncultured fungus
Lineage: Eukaryota; Fungi
Description: SSU rRNA
Rfam family: Eukaryotic small subunit ribosomal RNA
Source: RNAcentral